RNAcentral lists this ribosomal RNA (253 nucleotides) under uncultured bacterium. RNAcentral's name for it is "partial 16S ribosomal RNA". It matches the Rfam family "Bacterial small subunit ribosomal RNA", at positions 524 to 776 of the family's 1533-position model. The record is from RNAcentral.
UACGUAGGGUGCGAGCGUUGCCCGGAUUUAUUGGGCGUAAAGAGCGUGUAGGCGGCCAGACAGGUCCGUUGUGAAAACUCGAGGCUCAACCUCGAGACGCCGAUGGAAACCGUCUGGCUAGAGUCCGGAAGAGGAGAGUGGAAUUCCUGGUGUAGCGGUGAAAUGCGCAGAUACCAGGAGGAACACCGGUGGCGAAGGCGGUUUCCUGGCCGAGUACUGACGCUGAGGCACGAAAGCGUGGGGAGCGAACGGG